GCAGAAGGGUAUUCAUAUUCCAUCGCACCGGAAGAAAGUGGCAGAUGUUGAUCAUGUCUUAUGGCAGGAGUGUGUUUAAGUCCAGGUUCAGUUCUUUGUAAAUGUGGUGUAAAAUGAUCAUGGCUUGUAACAGAAGGGUAUUCAGAUUCCAUCGCACCGGAAGAAAGUGGCAGAUGUUGAUCAUGUCUUAUGGCAGGAGUGUGUUUAAGUCCAGGUUCAGUUCGUUGUAAAUGUGGUGUAGAAUGAUCAUGUCCUGUAACAGAAGGGUAUUGAGUUUUUGUCACAUUGGAAAAAUGUGGCAAGUUUUGGUCAUGACUUGUUGCAAAAUGGUGCUGAUUUAUGGGAUCAGA
This 350-nucleotide long non-coding RNA is filed under the name Medicago truncatula (barrel medic). Its description in RNAcentral is "long non-coding RNA (MTRU_LNC004113)". Lineage: Eukaryota; Viridiplantae; Streptophyta; Magnoliopsida; Fabales; Fabaceae. The record is from RNAcentral.